Molecule: transfer RNA, 58 nt
Filed under: Schistocephalus solidus
Lineage: Eukaryota; Metazoa; Platyhelminthes; Cestoda; Diphyllobothriidea; Diphyllobothriidae
Rfam family: tRNA
About the family: Transfer RNA (tRNA) molecules are approximately 80 nucleotides in length. Their secondary structure includes four short double-helical elements and three loops (D, anti-codon, and T loops).
Source: Rfam by way of RNAcentral
UGGCUCAAUGGUUAGAGCGGUGGACUUCUAAGCAACGUGUCGCGAGUUCGAGUCUCGU